RNAcentral lists this transfer RNA (70 nucleotides) under Camelus bactrianus (Bactrian camel). It matches the Rfam family "tRNA". Rfam says of the family: Transfer RNA (tRNA) molecules are approximately 80 nucleotides in length. Their secondary structure includes four short double-helical elements and three loops (D, anti-codon, and T loops). Further hydrogen bonds mediate the characteristic L-shaped molecular structure. tRNAs have two regions of fundamental functional importance: the anti-codon, which is responsible for specific mRNA codon recognition, and the 3' end, to which the tRNAs corresponding amino acid is attached (by aminoacyl-tRNA synthetases). tRNAs cope with the degeneracy of the genetic code in two manners: having more than one tRNA (with a specific anti-codon) for a particular amino acid; and 'wobble' base-pairing, i.e. permitting non-standard base-pairing at the 3rd anti-codon position. The record is from Rfam by way of RNAcentral. RNAcentral also lists the same sequence under 2 other names. Lineage: Eukaryota; Metazoa; Chordata; Mammalia; Artiodactyla; Camelidae.
AGGGAAAUAGCUCAGUGGUAGAGUGCAUGCUUAGCAUGCACGAGGUCCUGGGUUCAAUCCCCAGUACCUG